RNAcentral lists this ribosomal RNA (347 nucleotides) under uncultured bacterium. RNAcentral's name for it is "bacterial SSU rRNA". It matches the Rfam family "Bacterial small subunit ribosomal RNA", at positions 917 to 1267 of the family's 1533-position model. The record is from RNAcentral.
GGGCCCGCACAAGCGGUGGAGCAUGUGGUUUAAUUCGAUGCAACGCGAAGAACCUUACCAAGCCUUGACAUCCUCGGAACUUUCCAGAAAUGGAUUGGUGCCUUCGGGAACCGAGUGACAGGUGCUGCAUGGCUGUCGUCAGCUCGUGUCGUGAGAUGUUGGGUUAAGUCCCGUAACGAGCGCAACCCUUGUCCUUAGUUGCCAGCACUUCGGGUGGGAACUCUAAGGAGACUGCCGGUGACAACCGGAGGAAGGUGGGACGACGUCAAGUCAUCAUGGCCCUUACGGCUUGGCUACACACGUGCUACAAUGGGUAAGACAAUGAGUCGCGAGCCUGUGAAGGUCAG